RNAcentral lists this ribosomal RNA (1343 nucleotides) under Pyrops candelaria (lantern bug). Its description in RNAcentral is "SSU rRNA". It matches the Rfam family "Eukaryotic small subunit ribosomal RNA", at positions 430 to 1682 of the family's 1831-position model. Lineage: Eukaryota; Metazoa; Arthropoda; Insecta; Hemiptera; Fulgoridae. The record is from RNAcentral.
GGCCGCGCAAUUACCCACUCCCGGCACGGGGAGGUAGUGACGAAAAAUAACGAUACGGGACUCAUCCGAGGCCCCGUAAUCGGAAUGAGUAUACUCUAAAUCCUUAUACGAGUAUCAAUUGGAGGGCAAGUCUGGUGCCAGCAGCCGCGGUAAUUCCAGCUCCAAUAGCGUAUAUUAAAGUUGUUGCGGUUAAAAAGCUCGUAGUUGGAUCUGUGUCCCGCACCGUCGGUUCACCGCCUGUCGGUGUUCAACUGGUGUGUAUGCGGGACGUCCUGCCGGUGGCGGUCCGGUUCCCCGUGGGUACGUAGGGGCGUCCUUGCGCACGCUUGCGUCGUCCCCGAAGGCCUGCGCGGUGUAUCCGGCCGCCUUUUCAAUCCCGUCGCGGUGCUCUUCACUGAGUGUCGAGGCGGGCCGGCACGUUUACUUUGAACAAAUUAGAGUGCUUUAAGCAGGCCCUGUCCCGCCUGUAUGUUGUGUGCAUGGAAUAAUGGAAUAGGACCUCGGUUCUAUUUUGUUGGUUUUCGGAAUCUGAGGUAAUGAUCAAUGGGGACAGGCGGGGGCAUUCGUAUUGCGACGUUAGAGGUGAAAUUCUUGGAUCGUCGCAAGACGGACCGAAGCGAAAGCAUUUGCCAAGUAUGUUCUCGUCGAUCAAGAACGAAAGUUAGAGGUUCGAAGGCGAUCAGAUACCGCCCUAGUUCUAACCAUAAACUAUGCCUGCCAGCGAUCCGCCGAAGUUCCUCCGAUGACUCGGCGGGCAGCUUCCGGGAAACCAGAGCUUUUGGGUUCCGGGGGAAGUAUGGUUGCAAAGCUGAAACUUAAAGGAAUUGACGGAAGGGCACCACCAGGAGUGGAGCCUGCGGCUUAAUUUGACUCAACACGGGAAAACUCACCAGGCCCGGACACCGGAAGGAUUGACAGAUUGAGAGCUCUUUCUUGAUUCGGUGGGUGGUGGUGCAUGGCCGUUCUUAGUUGGUGGAGCGAUUUGUCUGGUUAAUUCCGAUAACGAACGAGACUCUAGCCUACUAACUAGGCGUACCCGGUAUCCACAAUCGUGCUACCGGCGGUCAAAUUUCUUCUUAGAGGGACAGGCGGCUUCUAGCCGCAAGAGACUGAGCAAUAACAGGUCUGUGAUGCCCUUAGAUGUCCUGGGCCGCACGCGCGCUACACUGAAGGAAUCAGCGUGUCUUCCCUGUCCGAAAGGACCGGGUAACCCGCUGAACCUCCUUUGUGCUAGGGAUUGGGGCUUGCAAUUGUUCCCCAUGAACGAGGAAUUCCCAGUAAGCGCGAGUCAUAAGCUCGCGUUGAUUACGUCCCUGCCCUUUGUACACACCGCCCGUCGCACA